CAAGCUGGUUGGGAGAUCGCUCUUUACAUUUGUAAGGGGAGGAAAGUCCGAACUCCGGUCCUGUAGCAAUAUGGGAUAGGGCAAGAUGGCCGUUAACAACGGCCCCGGGUGACCGGGGGAAAGUGCCACAGAAAAUAUACCGCCUCGAUUUUAUCGGGGUAAGGGUGAAAAGGCGUCCCGAUUUAUCGGGACCCCGAUUUAGACACAGUCUUGAUCGGGGAGGUAAGAGCUCACCGCGCCAAUGGUGACAUUGGUGGCAUGGUAAACCCCAUCUGGAGCAAGACCGAAUAGGAAACGGUAUGGUGGCCCGCCAAUUAUACGUUUCGGGUAGGUCGCGUAUGAUUCUCGUGGUAACAUGAGAACAAGAUAAAUGAUCUCUGCUUUUUAUAAAGUACAGAAAUCGGCUUACAUGCCAGCUUGAUAC
This 424-nucleotide RNase P RNA is filed under the name Candidatus Ancaeobacter aquaticus. RNAcentral describes it as "RNase P RNA component class A". It matches the Rfam family "Bacterial RNase P class A". From Rfam's summary of the family: Ribonuclease P (RNase P) is a ubiquitous endoribonuclease, found in archaea, bacteria and eukarya as well as chloroplasts and mitochondria. Its best characterised activity is the generation of mature 5'-ends of tRNAs by cleaving the 5'-leader elements of precursor-tRNAs. Lineage: Bacteria; Pseudomonadati; Candidatus Auribacterota; Candidatus Ancaeobacteria; Candidatus Ancaeobacterales; Candidatus Ancaeobacteraceae. The record is from RNAcentral.